CAACAAUUUCCAUAUUUGGUCAUUGAAAUUUCCAAGGUGAAUCAGCAACUAUAUUAUCACUCUUAAUAGAAAUGAGUAAAUCUAACCAAUGUUCACUGAACUUUAAACUUGUUACUACUUACUCACUCAUCUUUCACGCGUUAAUGAAUACUCACUCAUCUUUCCAUAUAGUUAUCCAUCCACCACUCGUCUCUUCAAAUAAUUUGGUGAUUUUUGCAGCAACUUUCCAACAACUUCCGACCAUCAAGAUCGUCGGAUUUUGAUACCGUUGGAAAGGCUACGAUGUCCUCUUCAAUUAUCACCCAAAAUCUCUUCAUAACUCCAAGGGAUUCGCCUUUUCGGGAUACUGAAUUUGUGGGUUUAUUCCGACCGAAUUCUUUGGAGUUGUGGGAAAAUUUUGGGUGAUAAUUGAAGAAGACAUCGUGAGUUUUCCAACGGUAUCAAAAUCUAGCAGUUUUGGUGGUCGGAAGUUGUUGAAAAAUUAUCGCAAAGCUCGCCCAAAAAAUCUGAAAAUCUGCUCAGAUUUUCAGAUUUUUUGGACGACUUUUGUGGCAAUUUUUCGAUCGAAUCCCUUGGAGUUAUGAGGAGAUUUUGGGUGGUAAUUGAAAAUGACAUCAUGGGCUUUUCAAUGGUAUCAAAAUCCGAUAGUCUUGGUGGUCAGAAGUUGUCGGAAAGUUGCCGCAAAAAUCGCCCAAUUAUUUGAAAUGACAAGUGGUGGAUGGGUAAUUAUAUGAAAAUAUGAGUGAGUGUUCGGUAACGCGUGAAAGAUGAGUUAGUAAAUAACAAGUUUAAAGUUCAAUGAACAUUGGUUAAAUUUACUCUAAUAGAAAUAAAAUAACUUCAUUUAUGAUACUGCAUAUUCGAAAUGUUCUUCAUGACAUAAAGAAAUCAGCUUUGCAAAAUAAAGAAAUGAUGUAUAAUAUAAAAAAUGCAGUAGCAAGCUUAAGUUUCUUCACUUUCACUUCGAUCCACCAGUCAGCCACCCAAAUGAGCUUGAGCUACAACAGCUCUGCCACCGCUUUAUUUAUGCUCCUGAAAGCAUUCUUCGACAAUGGUCUUUUUAGCACAAAACAUAGUGCCUAAGAAAUCCCUUAAUAAAUUUUGCGAUAUUUGUCCAAAUUCAAAAAUACUUUUAUCGGACAAAUAUCAAAAAUACUUUACUCACGAAUAACUUAUAUAACAACAAAUAACCAGAAAAAAAAAUUGCCCCUCAAGGCAUAUUCCAACUGGCAAAGAUGAGGGCGCUUCAAGGCUGGCAGAUCAGAGGUCGUGAGUUCGAUUAUUGAAAGGCUUUUGGAAGGCAGAUAUUUUCCUGGAAGGCAGGAGCUCUACUGGAAGACAAGGUGCAAAGAUAGGAAAUGACUUGCUUGACACUUUGGUAGAUCAGUUGGGGGGGCUCUUGAGCACUGGUCAGUUAGGGGUACAACCUGCGGUUUAACCUGUCUGCAGUUUGAGGGGAUAAGGUGUAGACUCCAAAAUUUUGUCACUGUAAGGUGGAUACCUGAAUAUCAAAAAAAAAUAAAAAAUAAAAACCCAGAAAAAUCACUUAAAAGAUCAUAUAAAAACUAAAAGUUCGGAAACCCUAAAAAACGUUUAGCAAAUCAGCUAGGGAUAAAGAAAAACCAGUUUAAUCAGCUCAACUAAAUCAAACCCAUUUCAAAAACCUUUUAAAAAAUUGAUUUUAAUCUUGUCUAUUGGGUUGUAAAUGCAUAACUAGUAUGAAAUUGACACCGAGUCCAGAUAAGAAAAAAAGAACACCCAACAGCACAACAACGACUGCCAAUGCAAUCGCCAUAGCCUUGAAAUCCCCCAACUUCAGACUAUGAUUUCUAUGUAUACGUGAGAAUAGAGAAAGAAAAUUAAAAUAAUAUAUUGAUUUUAAUUCAUUGAUAACAUAGGGAGGUAAGAUAUAUAAUAAAAGAAGAUGAAAACCUAUUUUAAGAUUCAUAAAUAAUAGUUGAUAGACUCAUGGAAUGUCAGAGUUAUUAGUAAGAUUGAAGAAAGGUGCACCUCCUGGGUACCCAAUUUCAGCC
RNAcentral lists this long non-coding RNA (2033 nucleotides) under Olea europaea (common olive). RNAcentral's name for it is "long non-coding RNA (OEUR_LNC005409)". The record is from RNAcentral. Lineage: Eukaryota; Viridiplantae; Streptophyta; Magnoliopsida; Lamiales; Oleaceae.